RNAcentral lists this ribosomal RNA (253 nucleotides) under uncultured bacterium. RNAcentral describes it as "partial 16S ribosomal RNA". It matches the Rfam family "Bacterial small subunit ribosomal RNA", at positions 524 to 776 of the family's 1533-position model. The record is from RNAcentral.
UACGGGGGGGGUAAGCGUUGUUCGGAAUUACUGGGCGUAAAGGGCUCGUAGGCGGCCAACUAAGUCGGACGUGAAAUCCCUCAGCUUAACUGGGGAACUGCGUCUGAUACUGGAUGGCUUGGAUUUGGGAGAGGGAUGCGGAAUUCCAGGUGUAGCGGUGAAAUGCGUAGAGAUCCGGAGGAACACCAGUGGCGAAGGCGAUCUGCUAGGCCUGACCUGACACUCAGACGCGACAGCAUGGGGAGCGAACGGG